UUUCUUUAAAAUAGUCGACAAAAUUGCUCUUACAAAAUUUCCAUUUGGGAGCCUCGAGCUCGAUGGGGGAAAUACACUGCAAAUACUGACAGUUGGCAGGUAUGGUCAUCAAAAAAGUUGACAUGUUACUAUGUACAUUUACCUUUAUGUUACUUGAUGUUCUUGCUAUACACACAGUACAGAGACUAGUCAAUCUUUGUGAACUAUUUUUUAUGGGAGUCAUAGAAUAUGCGUAUACAAUCAAUAAUUAAAAAUAGUCUAUUUAUAUUGAAAAGGAAAAGUUCUUAUAUGUCUAAAGAAGAGGAACGAAAGACACCAAAGGGACAGUCAAACUCAUAAAUUUAAAGCAAACUGACAAGGCCAUGGCUAAAAAUGCAUUUCAUGGGAGGCACAGAAAAUAUACUGUAAACAGUAGACUAUAGAUAUAGGUGAACUAGGUACAAAAGAACUCUAAAUCUUAAAUUCUACAAACCACCUCUGUUCUAUGGAAGAUAAUGAUAUAACUGGACUAGAAAUACACACAACCUGUAAUUAACUGCCUUUACAGCGCUUUCGCGCUUUGAUUUUG
This 568-nucleotide long non-coding RNA is filed under the name Mytilus galloprovincialis (Mediterranean mussel). The record is from RNAcentral. Lineage: Eukaryota; Metazoa; Mollusca; Bivalvia; Mytilida; Mytilidae.